AUGAGUUGGAUGCUGCAGGCCAUAAAGUGUCCCACAGAAGAGCAAGUUAAGAAGAAGCAUCUGGCAUUUAUGGAACGCUUUCUGUGUUCCACACACCGAGUGAAGCACCUCACGGACAUGAUCCCAUUUACUCCUCUUGAUGACGCUAAGAUGCGGUAACAACUGGUACCCUCAUUUCACCCAUGAAGAAACGGAAGCACAGAGAUGUUAAGGAACCUCACAGGAGUAGCAGAACUGGCAUUUGAACCCAAAUCAGUAUGAUUCUAGAACCUGUGUUCUUUGUUGAUGUGCUAUAGCAUUGUGGGGCUAUUGUGAAGAUUAAUGAGAUGAUGCAUGUAACAGACUUAUCACGGUUCCUGGCCUAUAAUAAGGAUCACAGUGAAUCCCUGCUGUUAUUUGCAUGUAUAAGUAUCCUAGUGCUGUUCUUCAGUACUAAGUAGGUGAUGCUACUUACCUCUGCUAUGUAAGACACACAGUGCUUAGUGUUCCUAAGUAGCUAGUGAGUCGAAAUGAAUAGUGGUGGUGAGGAUUUCUACUCAGUGCAUGUAGUACAUAUGGCUCUGUGGUGGGGCUGGAGAUACAGUGAUCGUGACAGCGGAUCAGGUUAGAGGGUUGGUAAACAAGUGAAGGGAACUGGUCCACCCUGCAAGAAAGUCUACAGUCAUGGCCUGAUUACGCAUUGCCUCCUAGAGUCUAAGAAAUGGCCAUAUACCAUAUACAACAAAUAUUACACUAAGGGCCUGCUUUGUCAGACUCCAUACGGAGACAAAAUCAGACUAGACAUAAGCCUUGUGCUCGUGGAACUUGCAGUCUAGUAGGGAAUACAUUAAAACCCAAAGAAUGUAAUGGAAUAAUUACAAAUUGUAAUAAAGCCACCAAGGAAAUAAUCAGAGGGCUGAGAUACAGAAUAAUGGAAUUGGGACAGGAAAGGGGAGGUCAGAUCCUACUUUGCUUGGGGUAGGAAAGGAGGGCUUCCUUGAGUAGGUGGCAUUUAAGACCCGACGAUAGGAAGAGCCUAGCAAGGGGAACAAUACAGACAAAGGCUUUGAGGUGGGAAAGAGCUCCACAAGUUGGAGGGGCUCAAAGAGGAGGGCUGUGGCUGGAGCAUAACAAGGAAGGGGGGAUGAGGCGGGGCCAGAAGGGUAGGCAGGGGCAGACAAUGGAGGGUCUUAUCCGCUCUUCGUAAGAAAUUGGGUUUUUUUUUUUUUAAAGUUUUAUUUAUUUAUUUGAGAGAGAGAAUGAGAGACAGAGAGUACAAGAGGGAAGAGGGUCAGAGGGAGAAGCAGACUCCCCGCUGAGCAGGGAGCCCGAUGCGGGACUCGAUCCCGGGACUCCAGGAUCAUGACCUGAGCCGAAGGCAGUCGCUUAACCAACUGAGCCACCCAGGCGCCCAAGAAAUUGGGUUUUAUUUGAAGUGUAAUGGAAACUCACCAAAGGGUCCUAAAUAGAUGAGUGAUGUGAUCUGAUUUGCUGCUGUGGACUAGACAGGAUAAAAAUUCUGUUGAGGUGGUCUGGACCAAAGAUCGUGGUGCCUGGGACCAAGCAGUCCUUACAAGUGGGAGGCCAGAUGGUCAGAGACCAUUGGAUGAUGGAAGCAGAGGUCGGAGCUGUGUGGGGCCGAGAUCCAAGGAAUGUGGGCAGCCCCUAGACACUGGAAAAGGCAAAAAAGUGGAUUCUCCCCAAGGCCUCUGGAAGGAACGCAGCCCUGUCAACGCAUUUUAAACUCCUGACUUACAAAACUAUAAUAUAAUAAAUGUGUUGCUUUAAGCCACUAGGUCGGUGGUAAGUAGUUACAGCAGCAAUAGGAAAACUUUCUGCAGCCCCUACGCCUGAAGGAGUGAGGGGAGGGAGGACGUGACCAGACCCAGGGAGAAAGCUACAGGAG
Zalophus californianus (California sea lion) is the source of this 1885-nucleotide long non-coding RNA. The record is from Ensembl. NCBI's taxonomy places the organism in Eukaryota, Metazoa, Chordata, Mammalia, Carnivora, Otariidae.